This 497-nucleotide ribosomal RNA is filed under the name uncultured bacterium. Its description in RNAcentral is "partial 16S ribosomal RNA". It matches the Rfam family "Bacterial small subunit ribosomal RNA", at positions 28 to 507 of the family's 1533-position model. The record is from RNAcentral.
GAUGAACGCUGGCGGCGUGCCUAAUACAUGCAAGUCGAGCGAACGGACGAGAAGCUUGCUUCUCUGAUGUUAGCGGCGGACGGGUGAGUAACACGUGGAUAACCUACCUAUAAGACUGGGAUAACUUCGGGAAACCGGAGCUAAUACCGGAUAAUAUUUUGAACCGCAUGGUUCAAAAGUAAAAGACGGUCUUGCUGUCACUUAUAGAUGGAUCCGCGCUGCAUUAGCUAGUUGGUAAGGUAACGGCUUACCAAGGCAAUGAUGCAUAGCCGACCUGAGAGGGUGAUCGGCCACACUGGAACUGAGACACGGUCCAGACUCCUACGGGAGGCAGCAGUAGGGAAUCUUCCGCAAUGGGCGAAAGCCUGACGGAGCAACGCCGCGUGAGUGAUGAAGGUCUUCGGAUCGUAAAACUCUGUUAUUAGGGAAGAACAUAUGUGUAAGUAACUGUGCACAUCUUGACGGUACCUAAUCAGAAAGCCACGGCUAACUACGUG